AUUGAACGCUGGCGGCAGGCCUAACACAUGCAAGUCGAACGGUAGCACAGAGAGCUUGCUCUCGGGUGACGAGUGGCGGACGGGUGAGUAAUGUCUGGGAAACUGCCUGAUGGAGGGGGAUAACUACUGGAAACGGUAGCUAAUACCGCAUAACGUCGCAAGACCAAAGAGGGGGACCUUCGGGCCUCUUGCCAUCGGAUGUGCCCAGAUGGGAUUAGCUAGUAGGUGGGGUAAUGGCUCACCUAGGCGACGAUCCCUAGCUGGUCUGAGAGGAUGACGAGCCACACUGGAACUGAGACACGGGCCAGACGCCUACGGGAGGCAGCAGUGGGGAAUAUUGCACAAUGGGCGCAAGCCUGAUGCAGCCAUGCCGCGUGUAUGAAGAAGGCCUUCGGGUUGUAAAGUACUUUCAGCGAGGAGGAAGGUGUUGAGGUUAAUAACCUCAGCAAUUGACGUUACUCGCAGAAGAAGCACCGGCUAACUCCGUGCCAGCCGCCGCCGUAA
This 504-nucleotide ribosomal RNA is filed under the name uncultured bacterium. RNAcentral describes it as "partial 16S ribosomal RNA". It matches the Rfam family "Bacterial small subunit ribosomal RNA", at positions 30 to 523 of the family's 1533-position model. The record is from RNAcentral.